This 91-nucleotide transfer RNA is filed under the name Shewanella algae. RNAcentral's name for it is "tRNA-Glu". The record is from RNAcentral. Lineage: Bacteria; Pseudomonadati; Pseudomonadota; Gammaproteobacteria; Alteromonadales; Shewanellaceae.
GUCCCCUUCGUCUAGAGGCCUAGGACACCGCCCACUUUCUCUGGGUAGAGGGUCGGCGGUAACAGGGGGUCGAAUCCCCUAGGGGAUGCCA